UCUAUUUGAUGUGGUCCGGCAAUGCUUCCUUCAAAUCUCGAAGGCACGGUUCACAAAAGAAAAAGAAUCUACAAUUUUCUUCUAGCACCCAUAAGGAUCCAGGUACGUCAACUUGUCGUUUCGUAACUUGGAGGCCUUCGCUACUUGAGAGUGCAUGAAGAGACAUCCGAAAAAGUGGUAAAAGACACAAGCAUGAUAGCGCACGCGUUCAGCCUACAACUGCACGCACCUACGCAUCUACGGUACUACGGAGCUGCUGCUCUGCGGGUACGGAAAGACGGAAUAGUCAAAUACGGAUACAGAGCGAUCAGCAGUGACGCAGAUCAUGCAUCGUGGGAAGGACGCAAAUGGUGAACGCCAAUGACGUGCACUAAUAUGGAAGAUAAGGCGUAUAUAAGCAAAACAACAAUCAGAAUGGGUCUUCGUUCCUUCUCAGUGCCACGGUUUGAUGCCCGGUUGCCAUCCGCUACUGUGCGGCAACGCCAUGUGCUAGACUACCGGCAAUGCACGGUCCCCUUCGUCGCAACCGUCAGCACCAGAGCAACCGAACGGCGCACCAGAAAUUCAUCAAGCGUGACAAGGCUCCGCGUGAAAGUGAGGGCGAAGUCUGGCGUCAGUCGGGGUACCCUCGCCGUCAGUGCGCGGGGCGAGAUAGCAGCGCCCCGGUGUGGCCCGGCAGCCGCUCCGGUCAUCUAAGCCGUGGUCCUUUUACUUUUUUGGCGGACAGUAGACUGUUUUCACCAUGCCUUCAUUGUGAAAAUACCAAGUGGACAAGCAACGGAAAGCUUUCUGUGUGCGUGAGAGAGCCUAAUGUACAGUCAUAGAAAGCUGACUCUAGAAACCGACGAUGACUGUGCGUCAUAUGAACGGCGCAUCGUUCCUCCGGUAGACCGGAAUACCUGGCGACCACAGUAUGUACGAGUGCUUUUCACUUAUGUAGACGCUCUUAGUGAGCCAUAUAGCGCGAAGUUGUGCGCUAAGCGUGACAUUUCAGUGCUCGGGUUGUGCGACAGUGUUGGUGUCAUGGUAACCGUGAGCGCAGGCUUUGUUAUCUCUCAUCAGUCAUGAAAAUGCUUUUGAUUAGUAUGUUUAUGUUCCUUCCAACGCACUCUUUUAUUCCUUUUCUAGAAAACAUUGCCCAACAGGGCAGCAGCAGUAACCAACCAAUUUUCAGGUUGCUUCACUGGAGAACAAACUAGCUCCCUCUGAGAACCGCGCAGUUGAAAUCCGCUGGCCGUAGAGUUCUUGCGGCUAAUUUUAUCUAAUCUUUACCACGCCGUCAUGAGUGUGAAGAGAGUGACACUUCUUCCGUUGAGAGGGUGGUGCCCUUACCUCACCAUGACCUCUUCGUUUAUUGCUAUAACAAUAACACGCACACUCCAAGCACAUUUUCGCCAUGGCACCAGCUUUUUCGUUUAUUCACGCUGCCGCAAACACAUUACUGUACGCCAAGCGUGUUAACAUAUUUUUUUCUCUCCUGCUGCCAAUCAGCAUACGCAGAAAGGCCCUGGAUUGAACAUGAUUUGGGGCUCCCUGUUUCUAAUCCUCACAGCAGUGCUUGUCACUGCACUGGGUGAAACCAUAAUUGUUCAAACGGGAUCAUCGGAUUCAACGAAUGUAAUAGUCCCAUCAUCAGGCUCUGCGUCCACAAUUGUUAUCAAAAAAGAGCCACCGAAAGUGAUUGUAAUUAACGACGAGCCAUCUCCUAUCGUCGUGCAAGUUCGAUGAUCGUUAUGGAGUCUCGUGGAGACGACUUUGAUCCAGCGACAGGAAAACGCCGGCACUCCGGACUGGACCCCGGUGAACAUGAUGCAGGGACAACAAAGAGAUCACAAAGCAAGGACUUCCUUGAGUGCACUUUACCCCUAUGAUGGAAGAGAUAUUCCACCGUCUACAGUUCUGAAGCUGUUAUAAUGGACAUUGCGUUCUUUAACUGCAUGUAAAAUGGACCUGAUAAUAUCGGCUUUAGAUAAAUGUCCAAUAUUUAAUGGCAAUUUGACGCCAAUUGUUUUAGCAGUUGGAAACAUCUCUAGGUAUAGGCCAAUGAUAAAGUUUUCAAAACCAACAGCUGUAUGAUAUGCAUUUUGCGUCGUUUACUAGUUGCGUUACGUUAGGAAGGGCUGCCUGACUUUUCCAUCUGUGCCGACAACUAUUUUUGCUCCCGUACCAUUUUGCUGCCUUUGCUCAUAUAUCUAAAGUGAAACAUAAGAAACAUAGCAGUGAAGCUCUCUCAUGAAUUGUGGUUCUUACCGGUCACGCGAAAGGCCCACGCCGCCACAUACGACGUUGUGGUGAAUUUCACUGGUCAAUUUCGAGCAGUUCUCGCUCAUGGGAAAGAACAAGACCUACACUUGGUCGAUUAGGUCUAGAAAUGACAUAUUAGUGGUAGAUACAACUCAUCGUGCUUUUAUUAAUCUUUAUGCAGUCUGAAUCGUGAGACAAGAAAUUGUCGAUCCUAAUUAAACAGUAAAAUCUUUAUCAUGGAGGCGGCACAGAACUCCCCUCUAUAUGCCGCGAGGAAUCGCUUUGCGUUUUCAAGCCAAAUAACUAAAUAUAUUGCCAGGAUCUUAAUUUACAUAAAUCGCAAUAUCGGGGAACUUGAUAGCCAGCCGAGCUCCAUCUUGGUUAGAUUCCCUGCGUUUCAUUUAUCCUUUUCUUCUCUCUCUGUCUCGAUAAUAGUUACGCAUGAUGAGCACUUUCAUUUAUGAUGUUAGCUAAAGCUUAUUUAUAGCUUGUGCUAACUAAAUAAAAGAAUAAAGCACCUAUGACUACCUCAGA
Molecule: long non-coding RNA, 2778 nt
Organism: Dermacentor andersoni
Lineage: Eukaryota; Metazoa; Arthropoda; Arachnida; Ixodida; Ixodidae
Source: RefSeq, a predicted model, not a curated record